RNAcentral lists this ribosomal RNA (253 nucleotides) under uncultured bacterium. Its description in RNAcentral is "partial 16S ribosomal RNA". It matches the Rfam family "Bacterial small subunit ribosomal RNA", at positions 524 to 776 of the family's 1533-position model. The record is from RNAcentral.
UACGAAGGGGGCUAGCGUUGCUCGGAAUCACUGGGCGUAAAGGGCGCGUAGGCGGCCUCUUAAGUCGGGGGUGAAAGCCCAGGGCUCAACCCUGGAAUUGCCUUCGAUACUGGGAGUCUUGAGUUCGGAAGAGGUUGGUGGAACUGCGAGUGUAGAGGUGAAAUUCGUAGAUAUUCGCAAGAACACCAGUGGCGAAGGCGGCCAACUGGUCCGAUACUGACGCUGAGGCGCGAAAGCGUGGGGAGCAAACAGG